UACGUAGGGGGCAAGCGUUGUCCGGAUUCAUUGGGCGUAAAGAGCGUGUAGGCGGCCAGGUAGGUCGGUUGUGAAAACUGGAGGCUCAACCUUCAGAGGUCGACCGAAACCAUCUGGCUAGAGUCCGGGAGAGGAGAGUGGAAUUCCCGGUGUAGAGGUGAAAUUCGUAGAUAUCGGGAGGAACACCAGUGGCGAAGGCGGCAACCUGGGCCAAUAUUGACGCUGAGGUGCGAAAGCGUGGGGAGCAAACAGG
RNAcentral lists this ribosomal RNA (253 nucleotides) under uncultured bacterium. Its description in RNAcentral is "partial 16S ribosomal RNA". It matches the Rfam family "Bacterial small subunit ribosomal RNA", at positions 524 to 776 of the family's 1533-position model. The record is from RNAcentral.